Gossypium hirsutum (cotton) is the source of this 107-nucleotide non-coding RNA. Lineage: Eukaryota; Viridiplantae; Streptophyta; Magnoliopsida; Malvales; Malvaceae. The record is from Rfam.
AAUCCAUGGUGCGGGCAUUUUUGAAUUAACAUUUUAAACCAUUCCCAUGCCUCAUAGAAAAUUUCUCCCUCCAUCUGUCUAAAAACAACAAGCUCUCUUCUUAGUUG